CCACCGAACCGGGUCAGGCCCGGAAGGGAGCAGCCCUAAGGUGG
Molecule: signal recognition particle RNA, 44 nt
Filed under: Candidatus Korarchaeota archaeon NZ13-K
Lineage: Archaea; Thermoproteati; Thermoproteota
Description: signal recognition particle sRNA small type
Rfam family: Bacterial small signal recognition particle RNA
About the family: The signal recognition particle (SRP) is a universally conserved ribonucleoprotein involved in the co-translational targeting of proteins to membranes. Archaeal SRP consists of a 7S RNA and homologues of the eukaryotic SRP19 and SRP54 proteins.
Source: RNAcentral